Molecule: ribosomal RNA, 253 nt
Filed under: uncultured bacterium
Lineage: Bacteria
Description: partial 16S ribosomal RNA
Rfam family: Bacterial small subunit ribosomal RNA
Source: RNAcentral
UACGUAGGGUCCAAGCGUUAAUCGGAAUUACUGGGCGUAAAGCGUGCGUAGGCGGUUUCGCAAGUCCGAUGUGAAAUCCCCGGGCUUAACCUGGGAACUGCGUUGGAAACUACGAAGCUAGAGUGCGGCAGAGGGGGGUGGAAUUCCAGGUGUAGCAGUGAAAUGCGUAGAUAUCUGGAGGAACACCGAUGGCGAAGGCAGCCCCCUGGGUUAGCACUGACGCUCAUACACGAAAGCGUGGGGAGCAAACAGG